AUUGAACGCUGGCGGCAGGCCUAACACAUGCAAGUCGGACGGUAGCACAGAGGAGCUUGCUCCUUGGGUGACGAGUGGCGGACGGGUGAGUAAUGUCUGGGGAUCUGCCCGAUAGAGGGGGAUAACCACUGGAAACGGUGGCUAAUACCGCAUAACGUCGCAAGACCAAAGAGGGGGACCUUCGGGCCUCUCACUAUCGGAUGAACCCAGAGGGGAUUAGCUAGUAGGCGGGGUAAUGGCCCACCUAGGCGACGAUCCCUAGCUGGACUGAGGAGAUGACCCGCCACACUGGAACUGCGACACGGUCCAGACUCCUACGGGAGGCAGCAGUGGGGAAUAUUGCACAAUGGGCGCAAGCCUGAUGCAGCCAUGCCGCGUGUAUGAAGAAGGCCUUCGGGUUGUAAAGUACUUUCAGCGGGGAGGAAGGCGAUGCGGUUAAUAACCGCGUCGAUUGACGUUACCCGCAGAAGAAGCACCGGCUAACUCCGUGCCAGCAGCCGCCGCAG
RNAcentral lists this ribosomal RNA (506 nucleotides) under uncultured bacterium. RNAcentral's name for it is "partial 16S ribosomal RNA". It matches the Rfam family "Bacterial small subunit ribosomal RNA", at positions 29 to 523 of the family's 1533-position model. The record is from RNAcentral.